AGAGUUUGAUCCUGGCUCAGAACGAACGCUGGCGGCGUGCCUAACACAUGCAAGUCGAGCGCGAAUGGAGCAAUCCUAGUAGAGCGGCGCACGGGUGAGUAACGCGUGGGUAAUCUGCCUGGAAGCCCGGGACAACCUGCCGAAAGGCUGGCUAAUACCGGAUAAGCCCACAGGGUCUUCGGACCCCGAGGGAAAAGAUGGCCUCUGCAUGCAAGCUAUCAUUUCCAGAUGAGCCCGCGACCCAUCAGCUAGUUGGCGGGGUAAUGGCCCACCAAGGCAACGACGGGUAGCUGGUCUGAGAGGACGAUCAGCCACACUGGAACUGAGACACGGUCCAGACUCCUACGGGAGGCAGCAGUGGGGAAUUUUGCGCAAUGGGCGAAAGCCUGACGCAGCAACGCCGCGUGUGUGAUGAAGGUCUUCGGAUCGUAAAGCACUUUCGACUGGGACGAAAACCCGCUGGCUAACAUCCAGCGGUUUGACGGUACCGGGAGAAGAAGCACCGGCUAACUCUGUGCCAGCAGCCGCGGUAAUACAGAGGGUGCAAGCGUUGUUCG
Molecule: ribosomal RNA, 557 nt
Filed under: uncultured bacterium
Lineage: Bacteria
Description: bacterial SSU rRNA
Rfam family: Bacterial small subunit ribosomal RNA
Source: RNAcentral